RNAcentral lists this ribosomal RNA (498 nucleotides) under uncultured bacterium. Its description in RNAcentral is "partial 16S ribosomal RNA". It matches the Rfam family "Bacterial small subunit ribosomal RNA", at positions 28 to 508 of the family's 1533-position model. The record is from RNAcentral.
GAUGAACGCUGGCGGCGUGCCUAAUACAUGCAAGUCGAGCGAACAGACGAGGAGCUUGCUCCUCUGACGUUAGCGGCGGACGGGUGAGUAACACGUGGAUAACCUACCUAUAAGACUGGGAUAACUUCGGGAAACCGGAGCUAAUACCGGAUAAUAUAUUGAACCGCAUGGUUCAAUAGUGAAAGACGGUUUUGCUGUCACUUAUAGAUGGAUCCGCGCCGCAUUAGCUAGUUGGUAAGGUAACGGCUUACCAAGGCAACGAUGCGUAGCCGACCUGAGAGGGUGAUCGGCCACACUGGAACUGAGACACGGUCCAGACUCCUACGGGAGGCAGCAGUAGGGAAUCUUCCGCAAUGGGCGAAAGCUUGACGGAGCAACGCCGCGUGAGUGAUGAAGGUCUUCGGAUCGUAAAACUCUGUUAUUAGGGAAGAACAAAUGUGUAAGUAACUAUGCACGUCUUGACGGUACCUAAUCAGAAAGCCACGGCUAACUACGUGC